RNA transcript from Hypanus sabinus (Atlantic stingray), 8197 nucleotides. It is a transcript of the gene named KH domain containing, RNA binding, signal transduction associated 2, with no coding region annotated. The transcript has 17 exons. The record is from RefSeq and is a predicted model, not a curated record. Lineage: Eukaryota; Metazoa; Chordata; Chondrichthyes; Myliobatiformes; Dasyatidae.
GCAACCGAGUCGGUGCACUUGGUGCAGACGUGAAGCGGCUUAAUCAGAUGUGUGUGUUCAGAGAAGCAGAAAUAGAUUUUAACUUUUAAAACGCAUAAGUACAAAUUAAAAUCACAUUACAAAAAUGCAGAGAGAGAAAUAUUUGCCAGAGCUGAUGGCAGAGAAAGACACUCUGGAUCCGUCUUUUGUUCACGCUACGCGUCUGCUGUCGGAAGAAAUUGAACAAUUCCAGGAUAGCGACACAAAGAAGGAAGAAGAGAAGCAAUACCUUGAUAUUAUCAGCAACAAAAACAUUAAACUUGCUGAGCGAGUGCUGAUCCCAGUAAAACAAUAUCCAAAGUUCAAUUUUGUGGGGAAGUUGCUGGGACCUCGAGGCAAUUCACUGAAGAGGCUACAGGAAGAAACAGGAGCAAAAAUGUCCAUCCUGGGCAAAGGAUCAAUGAGGGAUAAAGCCAAGGAAGAAGAACUGAGAAAAAGUGGAGAGGCCAAGUAUGCACAUUUAGGCGAUGACCUCCACGUGCUGAUUGAAGUCUUUGUCCCAGCUGGAGAGGCAUAUUCACGCAUGAGCCACGCCCUGGAGGAGGUGAAGAAGUUCCUGGUUCCAGAUUAUAAUGAUGAAAUCCGCCAGGAGCAGUUGAGGGAACUCUCAUACCUAAAUGGUUCAGAAGAUUCGAGUCGAGGGCGGGGAGCUCGUGGGCGAGGACUUCGAGCACCCCUCACACCCACUGUGAGGGGACGUGCCAGUGCACUUCUUCCAGGACGGGGAAUUCCGGUUCCUAGAGCUACACCCGCAGCGCGCGGGGCUCCCCUACCUCCCCACGCAGGCAGGAGCACUGUAGCACCCCGAGGGAGGGGAGGACCAGGGGCUGUGGGCUAUCGACCUCCACCUCCACCAGAAGAGGAUGCCUAUGACGAAUACGGAUAUGACGAUGGCUAUGGAGGUGAUUAUGAUGACCAGAGCUAUGAUACGUAUGACAAUAGUUAUGCAAGUCAAGUAGAGAGUGGCCCUGAAUAUUACGACUAUGGACAUGGAACAAGUGAAGAAACCUACAACAGUUAUGGUAAAGAAGAAUGGGUGACUUCCCGACCGAGUCUGAAAGCACCGAUCCCAAGGUCAAGAGGGACAUACAGAGAACAUCCCUAUGGUGUCCAGUAGUAGGUUAACCAUGAAAAAUCAGGACACGCUUUAAGGUUCAGGCCAUUGCCUGUCUGAUUGCUUCCAGUCUGAUCCUUGAUAUGGUCCAGGGAUAUUUGCAGGGAGCCAUGAUUGAUAUGUGGAGGUGGGAAAUCCUGGGAAUAAGGGGAAAACAAACCUGUGGUUCUUCACCAUUCGGCCAGUGGAAGAAAGAUCCUGCUGGAUGAGAGAAGGAAACUGGACAGGCAGAUUGACAACAACUUGCACUGAUAACAACAUUUUCCAGAAUCUGCGGUAUGAUGGUGUAUCUGUUAGCCUAAUGCUUUACAGUGUCAACGAUCAGAAAAUCACAGUUCAGUUCGCGCCACCAUCUGUAAGGAGUUGUACCUUUUCCCUGUGAUGGAGUUUCCUCUAGGUGCUCCAGUUUCCUCCCAUAUUCCAAAGACAAGGUUAAGGGUUCUUUUGAAGACCUUACCUGGAGCUACACGCUGAAUUCGGUUCUUUGCGAGAACUCUCGGGGUUUCAGGACCGGCUGUGGUUCAGCAUGCCAAGGGUUGGGCCUGUGAGUCCAGCUCAAAUUCGGAAGUCUAAGAUCUCAGGGCUCUGGAGAAAGGUGGAUCGAGGAUCAGCGUCAUGGCAGGAGACCCGUGUGUCGUCAGGGGAGUCGGGAUAUCUGCUAUGGGCCCGAAGACCCGGAAUCUUUGCGAUCAUCAGGCACGGAGCUCAAAAAAAGCGACAUAACAGAUAUUUAAAGUCGUAAACCAGCGAGUUGCUUGUUAUGUCUCCCCACUCGCUGGGGAUAAAACGGAGACACCUCCUUCUCCCUAAAUAAGGAGAGAGCCUGUGGAAUGUCGAAUGCCGGGUGUAAUGCAGAGUCUUCUGCGAACUGCAAGUCUGUGUCUUUGCUAUUGCUUUGCUUAUGCUGAGUGCUCAGUGGCAGGACCGAUGCUUCCCUUUUCUUUGCCGGUGAGGGGAGGGGUAUCGUUGCUCACUGCUGCUUAGGCACAGGAGGGAGGGGAGCUGGGGGGGACCUUGGGGUUCUUACAUCUAUCUGUUGUUUAUUCUUUGGGGCACUCCUCUGUUUUUGUCGAUGUUUGCGAAGAAAAAGCAUUUCUGCAUGUGUACAUUUCUCUGACGUUAAAUUGGACCUCUGAACCUUUGAACACUCAAGAUGCUGGAGGAACUCAGCAGGCCAGGCAGCGUCUAUGAAAAAGAGUACAGUCGAUGUGUCAGACCUGCCGAAGGAUUUCGACUGUACUCUUUUCCAUAGAUGCUAUCUGGCCUUCUGAGUUCCUCCAGCAUCUUGUGUGUGUUACUUGUUUACAAUUCCCUAACUGGACACUUGCCUGAUCAUUGCCCAUCUCUUUAACUAAUCUGCCCUCACCCCCAUCGCCAAAGCUGAGCUUGGUACUGACCAGCACCCUUGGAAAGGUGAAGGUGUCCCUUGGUGAGGCUUGGCACAACUACACCUCACUGUUGUCCCUGCCACCAACUCUGGGCAUCACCAUUCUGAUGCCUUCGCAUGAAGGUACUGGAAUUCCUUUGGCAUAUUGACACUGUUGACUGAAUAAUAUGAGACAAUUCUAAUAAAUCUUUGCUGAACCAUUUAGGAAUAGGACUUAUUUUUCAAUUGUUGUCAGGGAAACAUUUCAAUUGUGUAGAUGUCCCUGUUCUAAAAUUCAAAUGUGAGUUCUAUUGGCAGGGGAGAAAUAUAAAAUUGGAUGAAAAUAGACUGAGACGUUUGAAGGAAGAGAGUGGUAUAGGAUAGGUGCCAUUGACAGAGAGGGCAACUCUUUGCGAGAGACCUGGAAAGACUACAAUAUAAAACUGGCAAUCGCCAACAUUGGAGAUGCUCUCGAUAGACUAACAGUCUCGAUGAGAAAUGGUGUUUGGAGGAAACUAUGUCCCGAAGCAGUGAACGAUUUUAAAGGCUUCGAAACAACAACAAUAAAUAUGGCAAUAGUGAGUUUGGCUAAGGAGGCUGGGUGUGUGGAAGUUGACGAAGAUGAUGUUGAAGAGGUUUUGGCAUCCCGUGACCAAGAACUGACAGAUGAAGAGUUGAUGCAAUUGCAAGAGGAAAGGAUAACUAUCAAAACCAAACGCAGUGGCGAACAGCCAGAAAGUGAAGUUGUCCAGGAACUGAACGUGAAGCACCUGCGUAAGAUUUUCGCUAUGAUUAACAGUGCUGCAACGAUUGCAGAAAAGUACAUCUUCAAUUUUGAAAGGGUACAUAGGUUUAGGGCAGGUUUGCGGGAUAUUUUGAGUGCUUACAAAGAACUGUAUCAUAGAAAAAUGCGCGAGGCUAAGCAAUCAAGCAUACUGUCAUUUUUCAAGCCUUCCACAUCAGCCACAGCAGAUGCCAAACCUCGACCUUCGACAUCGAGGCAGGCAGACAUAGAAGAAGAUAUAGACAUUAGUGACCUGCCUGCCCUGAUGGAUUCAGACAAUGAUGAGAUGUUAAUAGAUGACCCUCUUCCUCUCUAUCCUACACCCCAGACUCCUGUACCUCCCACCACUCCAACCUCGGACAACUCAGCCUAACACCAUCAUCACCACCUCUCAACCUUCCAGUGUGCUCAUUGUCUUCCCGAUUCUGUUGUUGGCCAAACGAGUCAAGCCCUCCAGAUAUGAGACUGACAACACACACGAUAUGCUGGAGGAACUCAGCAGGUCAGACAUCUUCUGCGGAAACAGUCAAUGUUUUGGGCCCAGACCCUUCAUCAGAACUGGAAAGGAAGGGGGACGACUCAAGAAUAAGAAGGUGAGGGAAGGGAAAGGGAUACAAACUGGUAGAUAAUAGGUGAGAGCAAGCAAGGGGAAGGUAUGAGAUAGAGUUGUUCUUUAGUGGUGAGUAGAUACUGUGAUGCAUAAACAGAAAGAGAGGUGGCAUUCACAUGUACUGUAUUGCUUAAUAAAACUGACAGAGUCAUAGAGCACCUCAGAACAGAAACAGGCCCUUUGGCCCACUUAGUCCGUGCCAAAAUAUUAUUCAGCCUAUCCCCAUUGACCCGCACAUGGACCUUAGCCAUCCAUAACCCUCUAAUCCACAUACCUAUCCAAAUUUAUCUUAAAUAUUGAAAUCAAACUUGCAUUCACCACUUCCGCAUAAGUUUCCCUGGCAGGUUGCUCUUAAAUAUUUCACCUUUUACCCUAAACUUAGACCUCUACUAGCCUCCUUCAACCUCAGUGGAAAAAACUUGCUGUCUGUACACCUCAUAAUUUUCUAUACAGUGCUUCUAUCAAAUCUCUAAUUCUCCUACGCUCCAUGGAAUAAAAUAUUGUUCUCUGUUUAAGAUUGGUUACCAAGUGCACAGCCAGGCAGUGGGUAAUGGACAAUUUAAGGAAAUAAUAGAUAAAAAGCAUGAGGGAUAAAGGAAUAAUUUGUUAGAAAAAAAUAGAAAGUUCUACGAAAAAAAUAAAGAAAAAUCAAAGAAUGAGAAAUCAAAGCUGAUGGGGUUUAGAGGGAACCAGUUGUCCUUUUAAUAUGAAUCACCAAAAGUUUACAGGUACAGUAGCUAAUUAAAAAGACGGAGUAUAGGAAAAGUUUUUGAGUACAGGAGUAGGGGUGAUUUGCUCCAAUUAUAUAUGCGACGGAUGAGACCAUAUCUACCUACCUGGUCACCAACCUAUAGGAAAAAUAUCAAUAAGAUUAAAAGGCUAUAGAGAAACUUUAUAAGGAACCUGAGUUAUAGGGAAAGGUUGAGUAGGCCAGGACUUUAUUCCCUGGAGAGUGGGAGAAUGAGGGAUAUUUGAUAGGGGUAUAUAAAAUUAUGAGGGGAAUAGAUAGGAUAAAGCAAGCAGGCUUUUUCCACUGGGAUUAGAUGAGACUAGAACUAGAGGUCAUGGGUUAAGGGUGAAAAGUGAAAUAUUUAAGAGAACCUGAGGAUGAUCUUUUUUAUUCAGACGGUACUGAGAGUGUGGAACAAACUGCCAAUGCAGAUCAAUUUUUCACAAGUUAGGGUGUCUAGAACCAGUGGUCACAAUCUUAAAAUAAGGAUCAUAGGGUUUUUCAUCCCCCACGCAGUGGCCUUUGAAAUGCUCCACACAGGAAUGCUGUAGGGGCUCAGUCAGUGAGUAUGUUCAAGACAGAGAGUUUUAAAGUUAUUAAACAUUAAGGAAAUGAAGGGAUGUGUAGGAAGGCAAUGCAAAUGUCAAGGAUUAGACAUGAUCUUACAGAGGAGUAGGGCAAACCCAAGGGGCUGGUUAACCUUCUCCUUGUAUUUCAUAUGUACUUUUGUACACAGAGCUGACAUAAUAUGUAAACCUAGGUACAAUAGAUACAUAGAUAGGAAUACAACAGAUAUAAAUUAUAUAUGAUGCAUUCCUAGAUAAAUAUUUAGAAAAAUAGAUGGAUUAAAAAGUAUAAAAAAAAUAGAAAGAUAGAUGGGUGGAAAGAUAUAGUCUGACAUGCAGUUGUCAAUCACAUUGCAGCUUUUUGUGUUGUUACGACUGUGCCCCAACUCUGAGGGACUGAAGGGUACAAAGUAGCCCCCUCCUUUUUGAGAAUCACAAGAUCGCUAUUAAUUCGGGUCUGGGACCCAGGAAAUGAAAGAGAGACACGCAGAAUCCUCAGGGUUUGGAAUGUGUCCUGGGCCUCCGAAAGACAAAGCCACAGAUAACGGCCAUUGUCUCUUGGAGACGGAAUUGUGUAUUGAGUACUGUACUAUUCAUCGAAGCCCUUGGGACAACCAGAGUGGGCUGGUUGAGGGAUUGCAUCAUCCCAACCUGAUUGACAUCUGACACCCCGUGAGUGAGGAUAAAAGAGGGUCUGGGAACAACCCCUUUAGACGAACCAGGCGAAAUGCUAGAAAUCCCGUGACAGCGUAUAAUAGCGACAGCCGGUGGGGCCCGCGUGCGUCCUUUCCCGUUGCCUGGGAUUGGCGGGACUGACCACAGAAGAACGGCUUAGCUAAAAGGAAAAGGACACCGAUGACAUUUCGAAGGAUCGACAUCAUAAAAAAGAAAACUCUGGCAAGUUGCAAAAUCUCUCUCUCUUGACUCCAACCAAAGGCUGCAGCCUGAAUGAACUUGAGUGACGUUUAUAUUUCCAUCGGACAAUACAUUAUCCCCUAGACAACGAUAGAGCUUAUUUCUUAUUGAUUAUUAUUACGCCCGCACUUUUAGAUUUAGUAUUGACGAUGUAUAUUAUCUGUAUGUUUACAUUAAUAUUAUUUUUGUGUAUUUUUAUCAAUAAAUACUGUUAAAAAUAGGACCAUCAGACUUCAACGGACCUCUCCAUCUUUGCUGGUGACAAAGCUCAUCUUUUUUACCUCUCUCUCCUUCUGGUGGAGGUUCUCCUACAAAGUAGGACCUCAGGAUUUGCAACUAAUAAUCAUGAAAGAGCAGCAAAAUAUUUCCAACUUGGAUGGAAACACCAGGUAUUCCUAGACACUGGUAGAGUUAAUGGCAUCCUGGGUCUGUACCCCUCAAUAAUUCUUCCCCUCUGCUGCCAGAUUUCUGAAUGAACAAUGAACAUUGUACACCAUCUUAUUAUUUUUCCCUCCCUUUUUCCAUUAUGUGUGUGUAUGUGUAUCAUUGUAAUUUAUAGUGUUUUCUUUAGUGCACUGUACUGCCGCCACAAAGCAGCAAGUUUCAUGACAUUUUGUCAGUGAUAGUAAACCUGAUUCUGGUCCCCUGAUCAAAAUUCCCAUCCCUCCCUUAGCAGCUUCAGCCAGAAUAAUCCUUGUCCUUUGUAAAUAGGAACUCUGUGAUAAAAAUGAUGAUGAUCAUGGCAAUAGUACUAGUAACAACGCGUGCUGUUACAGGGAAGCUUUUUGAAGAAGGAACACUACAAAUGGGUUGAGUUAUAUAAAAAGUAAACAGCACAGAUAAAGGUCAUUUUGUCCUUUGAGCCUAAAAUGAUGAAUGUGCUCCACAUGAGCCCUUCCCAAUAAUCUUUAUCUAACUCCAUCAGCAUAACAAUGUUUUAUACUUCCCAUUUAUCUAGUCUUUUAUUAAAUCUAGGUACACGUUCAACAAUGUUUUGAAGUUUUGAAAAUUACAUGUUUUGAAGUGUCCCCCGAAGAUAAAGGUUACAGAUCUUGUAGAAGGGUCACGACCAAAACGUCAACUGUUUAUUAACUUCAAUAGAUGCUGUCUGACCUGGGAAAGAGAGAAGCUACGGUAAGAGGAAGAGGGACAGAGUGAAAAAGAAAAACAGCCAAUUAUAUAUUGGAAAGUUGGAGCACUGAAUCCCUUGUGAAAGGCAGAACUAUAUAGGCACAACUAACAACAGAAUCCAGAGAGAAGAGGAGCUAAGGCAUUCCCAGAAGAAAGCAGGAAUGUGAAAGCCUUUUAUUACUAUAUUGCAAUGUUACAAGUGCAACAACACAGAGAAGCAGGCUGUAUAAAGAACAGAACACAGGAUGGGAUGCCAAACACCGUAGCUACCAUCUUGGAAACCAACUCACCAAAUAUGGCAGUGGCCAGCUAAUCUUUUGUUUUGCUGAUUGGCUUUGCAUAUGGUCAAGUUGGUAACAGUUAAAUGUAAUCUCAUGCUGUUGGUCAUACAUUCAUUGGCCAUUUUAUUAGAUACCUCAUGUGCCUAAUAAAGUGGCACUGAGUGUCCUUUCAUGGACUUCUGCUGCUGUAGCCCAUCUGCUUCAGAGUUUGACAUGUUGUGCAUUUGCAGAUGCUCUUCUGCAUACCGCUGUUGUAGCACAUGGUUAUUUCAAAACUUUCAUCUUCCUGUCAGCCUGAACCAGUCUGGCCAUUCUCCUCUGACCUCUUACAACAACAAGGUGUUUCGCCCACAAAACUGCUGCUCACCAGAUGUUUGUUUGUUUUUCACACUAUUCUCUGUAAACUUUAGAGACUGGUGUGUGUGACAAUCCUGGGAGAUCAGCAGCUUCUGAGAUACUCAAACCACCCUAUCUGGCACCAACAGUCAUUCCACGGUCAAAAAUCGCUGAGAUCACAUUUCUUUCCCAUUCUGAUAUUUGGUCUGAACAACAACUGAACCUCUUGAUCAUGUCUGCAUGCUUUAUGCUGCCUUGUGAAUAGCUGAUUAGAUGUUUGUAUUAACAAGCAGGUGUACCUAAUAAAGUGGCCAUUGUGUGUUCA